RNAcentral lists this long non-coding RNA (205 nucleotides) under Nicotiana benthamiana. Its description in RNAcentral is "long non-coding RNA (NBEN_LNC010838)". The record is from RNAcentral. Lineage: Eukaryota; Viridiplantae; Streptophyta; Magnoliopsida; Solanales; Solanaceae.
UAUGAUCUUGUUUAUAACGAUUGGUAUCGUCAAUGGUUUAAAUUUUUUUGGUAUAGUCUUUUUGCUAAUGCCAAAAGGGGGAAGAAUAUGGGUGACAUGCAUGCCUUAAUUGAGGGGGAAUAGUCAAUUAAUGGGGAAUUAUAUUGAAUUGGUUUCUAUGAAUUGUUUGCAUAAAUUGUAUGUUGAGAUAUAGCAUGAAUUUAGG